CCCAAAGUGCUGGGAUUACAGGCAUGAGCCACUGCGCCCCGUUUUUUUUUUUUUUUUUUUUUUUUUUUUUUUUUUUUUUUUUUGAAAAAAAAAAAAAAAAAAAAAAAAAAAAAAAAAAAAAAAAAAGGCGGGGCGCAGUGGCUCAUGCCUGUAAUCCCAGCACUUUGGG
RNAcentral lists this microRNA precursor (169 nucleotides) under Chlorocebus sabaeus (green monkey). RNAcentral's name for it is "MIR530 microRNA precursor family". It matches the Rfam family "MIR530 microRNA precursor family". Lineage: Eukaryota; Metazoa; Chordata; Mammalia; Primates; Cercopithecidae. The record is from Rfam by way of RNAcentral.